This 466-nucleotide ribosomal RNA is filed under the name uncultured bacterium. Its description in RNAcentral is "partial 16S ribosomal RNA". It matches the Rfam family "Bacterial small subunit ribosomal RNA", at positions 28 to 507 of the family's 1533-position model. The record is from RNAcentral.
GACGAACGCUGGCGGCGCGCCUAACACAUGCAGGUCGAACGAGCGAGCGAGAGCUUGCUUUCUCGAGCGAGUGGCGAACGGGUGAGUAACGCGUGAGGAACCUGCCUCAAAGAGGGGGACAACAGUUGGAAACGACUGCUAAUACCGCAUAAGCCCACGACCCGGCAUCGGGUAGAGGGAAAAGGAGCAAUCCGCUUUGAGAUGGCCUCGCGUCCGAUUAGCUAGUUGGUGAGGUAACGGCCCACCAAGGCGACGAUCGGUAGCCGGACUGAGAGGGUGAACGGCCACAGUGGGACUGAGACACGGCCCAGACUCCUACGGGAGGCAGCAGUGGGGAAUAUUGCACAAUGGGGGAAACCCUGAUGCAGCGACGCCGCGUGGAGGAAGAAGGUCUUCGGAUUGUAAACUCCUGUUGUUGAGGAAGAUAAUGACGGUACUCAACAAGGAAGUGACGGCUAACUACGUG